GAUUAACGCUGGCGGCGUGCAUAACACAUGCAAGUCGAACGAUGAAACUUAGUAGACUUCUUCGGAAAGACACUAAGCGGCUUAGUGGCGAACGGGUGAGUAACGCGUGAGUAACCUGCCUUACACAAGGGGAUAGCCUUUGGAAACGAAGAAUAAUACCCUAUAAAACCAUAAAAGCACAUGCUAGAAUGGUCAAAGUGAUAGCGGUGUAAGAUGGACUUGCGUCUGAUUAGCUAGUUGGUGAGAUAAAAGCUCACCAAGGCAACGAUCAGUAGCCGGCUUGAGAGAGUGUACGGCCACAUUGGGACUGAGACACGGCCCAGACUCCGACGGGAGGCAGCAGUGGGGAAUUUUGCACAAUGGGGGAAACCCUGAUGCAGCGACGCCGCGUGAUUUAGAAGGCCUUCGGGUUGUAAAAAUCUUUUGUAUAGGAAGAAAAUGACAGUACUAUACGAAUAAGGUCCGGCUAAUUACGUG
Molecule: ribosomal RNA, 477 nt
Filed under: uncultured bacterium
Lineage: Bacteria
Description: partial 16S ribosomal RNA
Rfam family: Bacterial small subunit ribosomal RNA
Source: RNAcentral